RNAcentral lists this ribosomal RNA (236 nucleotides) under uncultured bacterium. RNAcentral describes it as "partial 16S ribosomal RNA". It matches the Rfam family "Bacterial small subunit ribosomal RNA", at positions 100 to 334 of the family's 1533-position model. The record is from RNAcentral.
CGGCACGGGUGAGUAACACGUAUCCAACCUGCCGUCUACUCUUGGACAGCCUUCUGAAAGGAAGAUUAAUACAAGAUGGCAUCAUGAGUCCACAUGUUCACAUGAUUAAAGGUAUUCCGGUAGACGAUGGGGAUGCGUUCCAUUAGUUUGUUGGCGGGGUAACGGCCCACCAAGACUACGAUGGAUAGGGGUUCUGAGAGGAAGGUCCCCCACAUUGGAACUGAGACACGGUCCAA